UUCGGGAGUCACAUUUGGAGAAAGGGAAGGCAAGGAUAAGAAUCCAAAACACCCUUUCAACCUAAUCAAGGCUAGUUGCGCGAUUUAGUCAAAGAUUUUCUUAUUUUAACCUUAAGAUUUAUCACAUUUGGAUGUACUAUAUGCAUGCAAACCCUAGAUCUAAGAGGGUAUCGGAGGGUCGAAAUUUCUCUUCAAAACUCGAAUGUAGCCAAUCACAUUAAUUGUGAUGCCCAAUAAAGACUCUUCGAAAAAGUCACGAAUAAUGCAAGUCAUGAGACUCGAAAGAAAGAAAAAGUAAAGAAAAUAAUAAUAUACAAAUGUGCAUGACCUAAAGGAAUGCAUCAUAAUGGGUGCGGGGAAACUAAUGCUCGUGACUCAAUUUUCCCUUGAAUAGAGGGAAUACGAGCGUGCUAAGACUAGAAAGUCAAACUCGUCCAUAUCCCAUACUCAAGGGGUUAUCUCUAGUCUAAUCGGGCAAAAAUGCACUAAUCUACCCCCUAAUUUCCUAAAUGAGAUGCAAAUCUAAAUGUUAUGUAUAUACAUAGGGGUAAGGGAUAUUUUAUUAGGGGAAAUAUUAUGUGAAAAUGGUAAAGAUCCUAAAAAAUGGAAAAAUAUGCAUGAAGUGUAAUGUAAUCAUACAAGCAUGAUCUAGCGAGGGAGGUCCCUAAAGGUCUAGUAUUGGACUAGCCCAUAUCUAUGAAUUCCUACUAGCAUUGGACUAGUGGAAAAUCGGAAUGAAGGGCCACAACUAGCAUUGGACUAGUGUGGUGACGGGAAAGAGGGGCCACGACUAGCGUUGGACUAGUGUGGUAACGUCACACAUUCAUUACAAUCAAAUAAAUCAUGUAAAGCCUAAUAAAACAAAUAAACACAUAUAUCACAUAACACAUAAGCAUGGUGUCUAGAUGCAAGAUCUUAGGAAAAGCGAUUAAACACAUAGGGCAUAUAGGCAUGCAAAAACACACAAGACAAAAAAAGCAAAGAACCCUAACUAUUACACUUGGGGAGGCCCUACUACAAUCUAAAAAGGGGAAAUAAAUAAUUAAUUAAAAUAAAUACCUAACUAUUACAAAUUUGGCAUUCAAGUACCUUUCAAAUGAUAGAUAUACAAUGCUAAAGCCAAUAAAGCAAAUAAAUAAAUAAAUGAAAUAAAAAAAUAAACAUCCAAGGGGCAUGCAAUUAAACACGUAAAGUCACAUAGGGCACGUAGGGUCAAAUAGAGUAAGAAAUAAGGGAUAGGGUGUACCUCCCUUGAGUUGGAGGUCUAAUGAAGUGAAGUCACUUAUUUACCCUCCAAAAUACAAAGAAAAUGUCAAGGCAUCACUUUAAUUAACAAAUAAUCAUAAAAGAUAACAAUGAAUUGUGAAAUUGAAUCAAUUAAAUCAUAUAAACAACCCAUAUUUAAGAAGUCAAAAGAAGAAAGGACUUAUUGCAAAAAUUAACAAAAUUUUGAGGUCAAAUUAUAAUCAUCACAAAGAUCCAGGGUCACAAUUAAAGAAAAAUAAAGUUUAGGGGCCUAUUUGCAAUUAAAUUAGGGACCCGAUUGAAUGAAAUUGAAAGUUUCUAAGGCCACAGUAUAGUUAAGGAGAAAUCCAGGGACUGAUUUGCAAAUCCGGUUACCAGAUUCUUAAUCAAACAGGCCAUUGGCCAUUUUCUAACUUCUUCUUGGGCCAACACCACUUGGCCCGAUCGGAAGUCCAAGGGACUGAAAUGGGUCAACCCACUUUUUACCAAUUAAAACCCAACCAAAUUAAACAACGACCCAAUCCUAAAACCCAACCAAAACUUUUGAAUUGUAACAUUCCUAAGCCCAACAAGAAGCCCAAACAAAUAUUAUUAAACCCACUUUUCAAACUCAACCAAAUGUUAUUACUCAAGAACCCAAACCAUAAAACUAAACCCAACAAGAUUAGCAAAUCAACUAAAAUAAUCAAACCACAAUUAUGAUCUAAAUCCCGGAAUUAAUCAAUCCAAAAGAAUACUUAAAAAUAUUGAAAAAUGAUUAAAUCUAAAAGGGAGAAAUGAGUUCAACUUUUUCAAUCCUUCGGGCUACAUCAAAAUGAAGGGGAAACUUGGGAGGUCCAAUCACAACAAAAACAGGGACCUAAUUGGAGGGAAUAAUCAAAUCAGUCGGGCCGUGAUGAGAUUACUCAUGGUUCAGGGGCCGAAAUUAAAGAAAAGUAACAUCCAGGGGUCAAUUUAUGUUUAAAUCAUGACUUAAUUGAACAAGAUCUGGAAGUUAUGUGGGCUUUAAUGUGACUUCACCAAAGGUCAGAGGUCAAUUUGAAAUUAAUUCAUAACCUACUUGCAAGAAAAAACAAAUCAUUCAGGCCGUUAUAAAAAAUACUCAAAAGUUAGGAGACUGGAACUGCAAAAUCAAACGAUUAAUCAUCUUCUCCAAACAAUCUAAAUGUUAGCUUCCAUUUCAGCUUUCUUUUACGGACAAAAGGAACGAAAACUCCAACUCUGACCAUUUCCAAUCAAAACGAAAAUCGCAAGAUCCUUCCCCUGCCAUUUUAAUUCGAAUUCAUACGAUGGGAGGCAUAAAGGAACAACAAGAUGCAAGACCGCAAUACAUCAGAACUUCUCAGGUGCGAGGAAAUGAACCUACGGACUUAGCCGGUUCUUUAACAUGAAAAGGAAAAAAAUGCAAACGAAUCUUCUGUCAAUAAGGAUUUUCAGCCAGGCAUUUCGUCGAACAGGUUAGGGGCAUCAAAAAUUUCACUAAUCCCUUAUUCAAAUGCACCUAUAAUUGGCCCAAAAUUAUUCAGAAAUCCAAAGGACAUCAGCCCAAACAAACACAGAAAACAUGUGCGAUCAAACAUUCACAGAGAAUCAACAGGAAAACUUUAAUUUCAAAUUCACAAGAGACAUGUUUCGGGAUUCUAGUGUGUACAUUCGACAAAGAAAGGAAACACUGAUAUUCAAAGGCAAAAAGAGGGCUUACAGUGUUCUUGCUCCGUAAAAAUCCGCAGGCGAUGACGGUGGAUUCCGGUGGAUCCGCCUGGUCUUUCUCCCUCUAGUUUUUCCUCGUCACACCUGCUCUCUGCUGCUCCUUUUUUCUAGCCACGGGUCCCCUUUUCCUCCUUAUCAUUUGCGGCCUUUUUCCUCUGUUUUUCUAUUCAGCCCAACCGUCCGAAGCUUUCUUCCUCUAGCUCCCUAUCUCGGCCCUCUUUCUUUCCUUUGGCCAAAGCCUUCCCCUCUAAUCUUUCUUGUCCUUUUUCAGCCCCCAGACGCAGCCCCCUGUUUUUCUUUUCCGUUUUUCUUUUGCUGCCUUUCCUUUUCUUCCUCAGCCGAAACUUUCCUUCUAAUCCUCCUUGCUCUCUGUUCUUAGUCGAAGCCUUUUGCUUGAGCGGCGGCGGCGAUGGACUCCGGUCACGGUGGUGGCGGCUAUGAGCAGCGGCGGUUCCUCUGUUCCUUGCCACAGCUUCGCUUCGAUUUCUUAUUACAGCUUUCUUUCCUCGCCGAAGUAUCUUCCUUCCCCCCUUUAGACGCCCCCUUUUCUUUUCUUUAUUUC
Molecule: long non-coding RNA, 3517 nt
Filed under: Coffea arabica (coffee)
Lineage: Eukaryota; Viridiplantae; Streptophyta; Magnoliopsida; Gentianales; Rubiaceae
Description: long non-coding RNA (CARA_LNC001303)
Source: RNAcentral